This 72-nucleotide small RNA is filed under the name Arabidopsis thaliana (thale cress). RNAcentral describes it as "ATSL072990". Lineage: Eukaryota; Viridiplantae; Streptophyta; Magnoliopsida; Brassicales; Brassicaceae. The record is from RNAcentral.
UUUAAGAAUUUUAUACCAUCUCCAUCGAAGUAUCUGAUUGAGAUACUCAUCAAAUAAAUAAUAAUUAAAAAG